Molecule: long non-coding RNA, 2521 nt
Organism: Ruditapes philippinarum (Manila clam)
Lineage: Eukaryota; Metazoa; Mollusca; Bivalvia; Venerida; Veneridae
Exons: 3
Source: RefSeq, a predicted model, not a curated record
UGCAGAAUGCGACAUUUUCGACUAGUACUCGCACAAUAUUAUUGUUCUUUGGUUUUUCGUUUGUUUUCAGAUGCCGUAAGAAAACAUUACUGGAUUCCUUUUGAAAGACAAAACUAGAUAAAAUUGUAUAUUUUUAAAUAUUACCACUAUAUAUUUCAGACUAUUGUUCGAUUGAUGGUAAAAACAUGUUUAUUGAUCAUUGAGCAGACGUAAGGGAAGAAUCCUAGCAGACGACAGUUGUCUCGCAGAUGCAAUCAUGCACCAUAUCAGACUGGCUGGCCUAGCUCUAUACUGGACUCGCUUUCAGCAGAUUAGGGUUUUGAAAAAGGAAAUCAUAACCUUGUAAUUGUAUCCACAGGUAGCAGACGACAAUGAAUUUUAAAGUGGAAAUUUGCGACUUCCGGUGUGUCUGCUACUCGAUGUUAUGAUCUCAGUUAAUUCCCCUGACGUUCAGUAGAUGAAAUGAGGGCCGAGAAAACGGAAUAUGAUAAAUUGAGCAGGUGAAGGAAUGAAGAAAACACCACCCUCUUUACAGUCAGCAAAAUAACUAAGCUUCCGGUUUGGAACUACUGCAUGCCGUUACAACAUAUGUGACAAACAGAUUUUAAUCCACCUCAUACGAUUUGGUAUCUUUCUGAAAAUGUCAUGUUCAACUUCUGAAUGGUGUUUUUUUCUGCCAAGUUUAAGAAAUAUAUUACCAUGUAACUGUCUAAUAUUUAUGGCAAUUAUGAAGUAAUGACUUUUUUGGCGUAGUAAUAAAAACCAUAAAAGGUGUUAGCCCCAUUGGAUUUUCUACAUGAACUUAAAUAAAUAAGACCUUCAUAAAUGCCGUGAUGUGAACAGAUUAGAAGGGACAUUUUAUUUGCUUUUUACAUUGUACAUCUUCUAUUUACCAACACACUGUACCGUCAAUGUAUUGUAAUGACAAUAAUGAGUAUAAUUGCAAUAAUGAAUGAUGCACUUUUUGCAAUGUAUAUUUCAAGUGGUGUAAUAAGUAAAUUUUGAUCAGGAUUGUACAUUUAUUAAGACUUUAUAAAACAUACUGUACCGUUAACAUAAUGACAAUAGUAAAAUUGCUGAAAUGAAUGAUGCGCAUUUUUUACAAUGUAUAUUUCAAGAAGUGUAAUAAGUAACAUUUAAUAGUUAAUAAAGACAUACUCUAUAGGCCGUACAACGAGAAAUAAUGAUAAUUUAAAAACGUCAUGAUAGAAACAUCCAUUUAAAUUUUUUUGAUAUUUAGAUAAUAAUUACACCACCAAGAAUAUCACCACUACCACCGAAAUCAACAGUAAUGAAACAUAAUGAAAACUCCGAUUGACCGGACUCUAAACCUUUGGCUGACCAAUUUCAAAUGUGAUUUUAUUCAAGUUAUAUUCCCUAAAUUGAGAAUGAACGUAUUCAGAAAGGAAGCUGGACAGGUCCGCUUCCGAUAAUAUUAUCAACCAUAUACAUGAUAUAAUGUGUUCCUUUAUAUUUUGAAGUAUCAUUUGUUUUUCUUUUGAAUGCUUUAAAUAAGGAGUCACAAUGGGUUACUUUAUCAUUUUCAUUUCCAACCAUAUCCUCGUGCGUUUCAUCGCCGGAUAGCCACUGAUACUCAUUGCCUAACCAUUAACAUUUAUCUAAUCAACCGUGGGUAUCCGACGAUGCAUGCGUUUAUGCUUGUUUUGUUUUUUUUGUUGAUUUUUUUAUUAUUAUUGUUGUUGUUGUUUUCAAUUUUUAUAUGAUCUGACAAAAAGCUUAAUAAGGGGGUGGGGGCUAGCAUCAUUUAGCUUCUUUUGUUCGCUUUUGAUACGUUAUUCCAUUAAUUUUUUAACUUUACAUGCCUGUUUAAAUUUGUUAUAGUUUUUUUUAAUUAUUUAUUUAUUUUUUAUUUAUUUAUUUAUUUAUUUUUGUUUUGCAAAUUACAUCAAGCGAAAAGGGGGGCUACUUGUUUUAAAAUACAGAUUGAUCUCCCCUGAAAAUUUAAAUGAUAAGAACGGAUCAAAGGAGACUUCUCUUCAUUAAAACAAGUAUUUAUAAAUGAUAAAAAGUCAUUUCCCGUCAGUUUACUCUCCAUUACCACUUAUUUUUUUCUAACUGAUAACUCUCACACAUCUUUGGUACUAACAUUAACUUUUGGGGAAAAUGACUUUCAUAAUGCUACUGUAAAAGUUCCAACAAAUAUCAAUCAAAAGUAAUAACAUUUGGUUGUAAAAUUUAGCCGCAAAAGGCAUAAUGUUUAAUUAUCAAAGGGAGAGUAGUCGUCCUUUGGUCUUUGACGUCAUUUCAAUUUUCAGGGGAGGUUACACCGUUUUUUAAUUAUUAAAGGCAAGAGUCGUACUCCUUUGGUCAUUACAAGUUUUUACAAAUUAUUCUGCAAUAUCAAGAACAAUUUAAAGGAACACACUAUAGUCAAAAUUGGAUACUUCCUUUUACAAGUAUACAGAACUUGAAAUAUUUCAACCAAUUUUAUGGUAGAUUUAAUGAUUAAUGCUUUGAUUAGAAUCUUUUCACUUAGUACAUAUAAAAAUAUGAAAAUACU